UGGGGAAUCUUGCACAAUGGGGGCAACCCUGAUGCAGCGACGCCGCGUGAGCGAUGAAGGUUUUCGAAUCGUAAAGCUCUGUCCUAUGGGAAGAUAAUGACGGUACCAUAGGAGGAAGCCCCGGCUAACUACGUGCCAGCAGCCGCGGUAAUACGUAGGGGGCGAGCGUUGUCCGGAAUUACUGGGCGUAAAGGGUUCGCAGGCGGAAUGGCAAGUCCGAUGUAAAAGGCGAAGGCUCAACCUUCGUAAGCAUCGGAAACUGUCAAGCUUGAGUGAAGGAGAGGCAAGUGGAAUUCCUAGUGUAGCGGUGGAAUGCGUAGAUAUUAGGAGGAAUACCGGUGGCGAAGGCGACUUGCUGGACUUCAACUGACACUGAGGCGCGAAAGCGUGGGGAGCAAACAGG
RNAcentral lists this ribosomal RNA (403 nucleotides) under Verrucomicrobiota bacterium. RNAcentral describes it as "Verrucomicrobia bacterium partial 16S ribosomal RNA". It matches the Rfam family "Bacterial small subunit ribosomal RNA", at positions 355 to 776 of the family's 1533-position model. Lineage: Bacteria; Pseudomonadati; Verrucomicrobiota. The record is from RNAcentral.